UAGCUUCGUUGGUAGAGCAUGGUGUUUGCGACGCCAUUGUUGUGGGUUCGAUUCCCAC
Molecule: transfer RNA, 58 nt
Filed under: Salmo salar (Atlantic salmon)
Lineage: Eukaryota; Metazoa; Chordata; Actinopteri; Salmoniformes; Salmonidae
Rfam family: tRNA
About the family: Transfer RNA (tRNA) molecules are approximately 80 nucleotides in length. Their secondary structure includes four short double-helical elements and three loops (D, anti-codon, and T loops).
Source: Rfam by way of RNAcentral